Non-coding RNA from Anas platyrhynchos (mallard), 907 nucleotides. NCBI's taxonomy places the organism in Eukaryota, Metazoa, Chordata, Aves, Anseriformes, Anatidae. The record is from RefSeq and is a predicted model, not a curated record.
GAUAUUUCAGCUACAUAGCAAGGAACAAUUAUGCUUUGCGGGUUAAUUUCCCUACAAGGUGAUCCAGCUCUUUGAAAUUCCAAAAAGAGAUAACAAAAUAUGCCACAGCUGACUAGUAAUCUUGUUCAAUUGAAAACAAAAAUUUUGAGCAAGGAUACCAUAGAAAUAGCACACUAAUAAAAACACGAUAAAGUUAAUCAAAGAGAAUGAAAGCAUCCCUUCUCUUUCAUGCGGUGCCAGAAGGAAAAAAUAAAAUAAAAUGCAGUUUUCCAAUGGAAAACUGUCACUGCCCCUAACAGCAUAGCUGAGUUCUGUGGAUGACUUUUCCACAUCAACGUACAGCUUACACAUUUCAGAAAUCCAGUCUAAUACUGCAAUGUCAGUCCUUCUUUGCUAGUGGGCCAGGCUGGGUGAUUUGUCUUGGUGUCUACCAGGCUGCCCUUCUCCCUUGAGGCUGCAUCUAAGGAUCUCAGAGCCCUUGCCACCUUGAAAUGUGCCCAUUUGGUGAAGCUACCAAGGGGUUUCUGCUCUUCUGAGAGACUUCUCAGAGACUGAAGAGUCAAGAAUGGAAGAUACCCAGCUGUGGGCCAUAAUGCCACCAACUGCAGAUGGCCUGGUGAACACGCACUUCCAGAACAAUACCAGGGGAGUGGAAGACAUUAGACAGAAGAUUGACUUUACCUGUUGUUGAUCUCCAUAAAUUACUUAAAUGGUGCUCUCAGUUAUAGCUUGCUUAGCUCCAAAUCUGGCUGUGAAGCCAGACCCAUCUGGCUGUGAACCCACACCCACCCAAUCCUCCUUAUAUCAAGUGUUUCUCCUUGUCAGGUGCACUGUUUGCACUGUUGCAGAUCUCACAGCAACACAUUUGUGAACAUAAGAUGAAUGCAGAAAAUAAAAAAAAAAAAAA